UUCAUGAACCGCAGAGCCGGAGACGCGGAGAGACAGAAAACCGGGCUCGAACGCGGACCCAGCGCGUCACAGAUGCUUUUAUGGAAGUGCACGGACAGAAUGCAUGCCUAAAACUGAAUUACAACAGAAAUGUGUGUGGAAUCCGCUAAUGACGCAUAUUGCGUUCGGGGAGCGUGUGUACGCAAAGAACGCACGCAUGCAUGCAUCACUCCUCAUCACGCGUGCUUGUUUCAGGAUGUGUCAGAAGAGUCUCCUCGAUGUUGAACUCUGCUUCCGUCCAAACAGGGAAGGCAGUGUGAGGAGCGCUGAAGGAGCAUCUAGAGAAAUGGAGAGAUGAACGUGACUCUCCAGCAGGAGCAUGUGGAGGCCGGGAAUGACGGAAAUGAUGGGCUGCUGUGGGCUUUGAGGACACCGGACCUCUAAAGCUCAGAAUGGCCAGAGAAAAUUAUAUGAGGAAGAAAAAGCAUGCUGGGAGAUCAGGAGGAGACGCAGCGGAGUGAAGUCGUGAAAGACAAACUGGGAUGGAUCUGACCUGCUGAUGAGAUCCUCUGUCGCCCUGAAGAUUCACUGAUGCCACUUCCUUUAUUGCUGAACAGGAAGCCAGAAUCAGUUGCAGGAUGAAUUCAGCGUUAUAACUUCACCUGCAGACAGGUCGAAAAAACAAACACCAUUAGAAAGAUGUUUUUUUUGUGGCUCACUGGUCCUACCUUUGAUUUUUAUGAUCGUGUUCAUUUUUUACUGACGUUCAGUGUAGAAAACUAAAACACUGUGGAGAUUUGCUGUUGUAGCGUCACCUGCAAAAGCACAUUAAACCAGCUAAGUGAAUCUAGAAAUGCUCAUGCUGUUAUUUUAUUUAAACAUGCUUAGCGUUGCAUUUUAGCAUAUGCGCAUUACAGCUCUAUUUCACACACACCUCAAGCUCUCUGGAUGAAUUAUAAAAUCUGUAAAUGAAUAUUUUAAUAACACUUGGGGCUGUAGGUUGGAUUCACUAAUGUAAUGACCCUCAGAAUCUCUUAAUUCACCCGAUUCAAUAAUACUGCACUGAACAAUUGCAUAUAAGUAAAGCUGUAAUUCAUCACUGUGUACUUGAGUGAUACUGAAUGUGUGAUGAUCUUCAAUAAAGCAUCUAUAUGAGAUAUGUGACUUUGUCAGG
Long non-coding RNA from Labeo rohita (rohu), 1153 nucleotides. RefSeq lists it as uncharacterized. The record is from RefSeq and is a predicted model, not a curated record. The transcript is spliced from 4 exons. Lineage: Eukaryota; Metazoa; Chordata; Actinopteri; Cypriniformes; Cyprinidae.